RNAcentral lists this ribosomal RNA (704 nucleotides) under Salmonella enterica subsp. enterica serovar Stanleyville. Its description in RNAcentral is "partial 23S ribosomal RNA". It matches the Rfam family "Bacterial large subunit ribosomal RNA", at positions 1 to 1194 of the family's 2925-position model. Lineage: Bacteria; Pseudomonadati; Pseudomonadota; Gammaproteobacteria; Enterobacterales; Enterobacteriaceae. The record is from RNAcentral.
AAGCCAGUGGUGAACUCCACAUACGCAUCCUUUGCUGAGGAUACGGUUAACGGAGCGAAAGCGACGUUCAACCGCAAAAGAAGCAGAGGGGGCUUAGUGGUGGGGUGACUGCGUACCUUUUGUAUAAUGGGUCAGCGACUUAUAUUCUGUAGCAAGGUUAACCGAAUAGGGGAGCCGCAGGGAAACCGAGUCUUAAUUGGGCGUUAAGUUGCAGGGUAUAGACCCGAAACCCGGUGAUCUAGCCAUGGGCAGGUUGAAGGUUGGGUAACACUAACUGGAGGACCGAACCGACUAAUGUUGAAAAAUUAGCGGAUGACCUGUGGCUGGGGGUGAAAGGCCAAUCAAACCGGGAGAUAGCUGGUUCUCCCCGAAAGCUAUUUAGGUAGCGCCUCGUGAAUUCAUCUCCGGGGGUAGAGCACUGUUUCGGCUAGGGGGCCAUCCCGGCUUACCAACCCGAUGCAAACUGCGAAUACCGGAGAAUGUUAUCACGGGAGACACACGGCGGGUGCUAACGUCCGUCGUGAAGAGGGAAACAACCCAGACCGCCAGCUAAGGUCCCAAAGUCAUGGUUAAGUGGGAAACGAUGUGGGAAGGCCCAGACAGCCAGGAUGUUGGCUUAGAAGCAGCCAUCAUUUAAAGAAAGCGUAAUAGCUCACUGGUCGAGUCGGCCUGCGCGGAAGAUGUAACGGGGCUAAACCAUGCAC